UACGGAGGGUGCAAGCGUUGUUCGGAAUCAUUGGGCGUAAAGCGCGCGCAGGCGGCCGUUUAAGUCGACUGGUCAAAGGCCGGGGCUCAACCCCGUGCUCGCCGGCGAUACUGGACGGCUGGAGACAGGCAGAGGCAAGUGGAAUUUCGGGUGUAGCGGUGGAAUGCGUAGAGAUCCGAAAGAACACCGGAGGCGAAGGCGGCUUGCUGGGCCUGUUCUGACGCUGAGGCGCGAAAGCGUGGGGAGCGAACCGG
This 254-nucleotide unclassified non-coding RNA is filed under the name uncultured Gemmatimonadota bacterium. RNAcentral describes it as "uncultured Gemmatimonadetes bacterium contains 16S-23S intergenic spacer region". It matches the Rfam family "Bacterial small subunit ribosomal RNA", at positions 524 to 776 of the family's 1533-position model. Lineage: Bacteria; Pseudomonadati; Gemmatimonadota. The record is from RNAcentral.